Long non-coding RNA from Onychomys torridus (southern grasshopper mouse), 1186 nucleotides. RefSeq lists it as uncharacterized. Lineage: Eukaryota; Metazoa; Chordata; Mammalia; Rodentia; Cricetidae. The transcript is spliced from 4 exons. The record is from RefSeq and is a predicted model, not a curated record.
CUUGAGUGGUUCAGCCCAACCAUUAAAACUAGCAUUUCCGACGCAAGAAGAAAAGUAACUGGAAAUCGGGAAAUUCCUGAAGAAAUUUUCUAGACAAAACUGUGGCCUUGGUUGAGACUCAAAGCAUGGAAAACGGGUUCUCUGCCGUGUCACAGGGGCAAGCUGCCUACUUCUGAGAGCUACUGGUUUCACAAGUCACUGGAGGGAAGUUCACCAGGUCCCAACAGGCCUUAGGGCAGUUCCAAAACGCAGUGUAAACAUCUCAAGCUUUCAGAAGUUGGCACAGGCUAUCAACUGGGAUUCCCUUCACUGUUACUGUCCCAGUCUGACAGAAGAAACAGAAAGAAUGGAGAGACACAAACCUUGGGUGUCCAGACUCAGGGAUGGUUGUUAUUUUAUACACCAAACUCCGGGAAAUACGUGUACGGCAGCAUGAGGAGACAAGCAGAAGUGGACAGUUAAAUAAAACAUCAAUCCACACCAAUUAAAAGCAUCAGAACAGGGCCUGUGCCAACCUGAAGGAACCGUGCAGCAGGGAUGCUUUGAAUGUACAGUUCUUCUCCCUUCCUGCUUUGGUUGCUCUGGCGGACCUGAGGUUCCUUGGCACAGAGGCGAUCUGCUUGACUCCCAUUAUCUCAACCAUGAAGCAGACAGCAGAGGAGUUCUUCCUCCACAUGGGCAGAAAGAGGAUCCUUGAAGGAAGAGGGCAUUGCUGUGCUUGGCUGGGCUCGGCCACAUGAGGAAAAGAAGUUCCUCAGUCCCAUGGAGCUUGUUUUUACCUUUAGGGAUGAAAAGCACCAUCUGUCUUGACCCAGUUCAAGGCUUUCACCCAAAUCAACCAGAGACUGCUCCACCAACCCCUUCUUGACUGGGCCUGGCAUUAGUCUUCCUUUGGAUGUUUUCCUUUAUUCUCUGAAGAUCCUGGGCAGGAGGAAGUCCCCACGGAGGGCAGCUCCAGAUGGAAAGGUGGCCAAGGCAAGAGUGUCGGACUCAGCACUGCCUGUGAAGAGAUAACUGAGACAAGCCACCCGAGGAAAGAUUUACUUCAGUUCAUGGCCUCAGAGGUUUUUACCCCAUCACAGCAGAAGUAGUGUGACAGAGAAUCUCAGAUCGUGGCAGCGAGGGAUGAGAAGGCGGGUUUUAGUCUCAGCUCUCAGCUACUGCUCUGACCUCUUGGGCUUUUAAC